RNAcentral lists this ribosomal RNA (250 nucleotides) under uncultured bacterium. RNAcentral's name for it is "partial 16S ribosomal RNA". It matches the Rfam family "Bacterial small subunit ribosomal RNA", at positions 524 to 773 of the family's 1533-position model. The record is from RNAcentral.
UACGAAGGUGGCAAGCGUUACUCGGAAUUACUAGGCGUAAAGGGCAGGUAGGUGGUUCGGUAAGUCUGUUGUGGAAGCUCCCGGCUCAACUGGGAGAGGUCAACAGAAACUACCGGACUUGAGUAUAGGAGAGGGUACUGGAAUUCCCGGUGUAGCGGUGAAAUGCGCAGAGAUCGGGAGGAACACCAAUGGCGAAAGCAGGUACCUGGACUAUUACUGACACUCAGCUGCGAAAGCUAGGGGAGCAAAC